AUUUUCCGGUUGAUCCUGCCGGACCCUACUGCUAUCGGGGUGGGGCUAAGACAUGCGAGUCGAACGUUUCGCAGCCAUGAGUGAAACGUGGCAUACGGCUCAGUAACACGUGGCUAACCCACCCUCGGGACGGAGACAACCCCGGGAAACUGGGACCAAUCCCCGAUAGGCGAGGACUCCUGGAACGGGUCCUCACCCAAAGGGUGUUGGGAUCAUGCUUCUCAACGUCGCCCGAGGACGGGGCCGCGACCGAUCAGGUAGUUGGCGAGGCAAUGGCUCACCAAGCCUAUAACCGGUACGGGCCGUGGGAGCGGAAGCCCGGAGAUGGGCACUGAGACAAGGGCCCAGGCCCUACGGGGCGCAGCAGUCGCGCAAACUCUGCAAUGCACGAAAGUGUGACAGGGCUACCCCGAGUGCCGUCCGCUGAGGAUGGCUUUUCUCCACUGUAAGGAGGCGGAGGAAUAAGGAGAGGGCAAGUCUGGUGUCAGCCGCCGCGGUAAUACCAGCUCUCCGAGUGGUAGGGACGAUUAUUGGGCUUGAAGCGUCCGUAGCCGGCCUCUCAAGUCUUUCGUUAAAUCCAGCGAUUCAAUCGUUGGACUGCGGGAGAUACUGUUAGGCUAGGGGGCGGGAGAAGCCGACGGUAUUUUCGGGGUAGGGGUAAAAUCCUAUAAUCCCGGGAAGACCACCAGUGGCGUAGGCGGUCGGCUAGCACGCGCUCGACGGUGAGGGACGAAAGCUGGGGGAGCGAACCGGAUUAGAUACCCGGGUAGUCCCAGCUGUAAACGAUGCUGGCUAGGUGUUGGAGCGGCUACGAGCCGCUUCAGUGCCGCAGGGAAGCCAUUAAGCCAGCCGCCUGGGGAGUACGGCCGCAAGGCUGAAACUUAAAGGAAUUGGCGGGGGAGCACCACAAGGGGUGAAGCUUGCGGUUUAAUUGGAUUCAACGCCGGAAAU
Molecule: ribosomal RNA, 951 nt
Filed under: uncultured archaeon
Lineage: Archaea
Description: bacterial SSU rRNA
Rfam family: Archaeal small subunit ribosomal RNA
Source: RNAcentral